Molecule: non-coding RNA, 448 nt
Organism: Propithecus coquereli (Coquerel's sifaka)
Lineage: Eukaryota; Metazoa; Chordata; Mammalia; Primates; Indriidae
Source: the annotation of a RefSeq genome assembly
GAGAACCACGUUUUCCCAGGAAAACACACUUGACAAUUGAAAGAUGGAGAAGUACCCACAGGCUUCACUACUGAUCUUUUGGCUUCAACUGAGCUGGGUGAGCAGUGAAGACAAGGUGAUACAGAGCCCCUCAUCUCUGGCUGUCCAUGAGGGAGAUAGUGCAACUCUCACCUGCAAUUAUGAAGUGAGUUACUUUCAAAGCCUACAGUGGUACAAGCAGGAAAAGAACGCUCCCACAUUUCUGUUUACACUAACUUCAAGUGGGAUCGAGAAGAAGUCAGGAAGGUUAAGUAGCAUAUUAGAUAACAAAGAACUUCUCAGCACCCUGAACAUCACAGCCACGCAGACCAGAGACUCAGCCAUCUACUUCUGUGCUGUGGAGGCACAGUGCUCCCCCAGCACCUGCAGCCUGUACCCAAACGCUGCAGCUGAUGCUCUGCAACUGUAA